Molecule: ribosomal RNA, 506 nt
Filed under: uncultured bacterium
Lineage: Bacteria
Description: partial 16S ribosomal RNA
Rfam family: Bacterial small subunit ribosomal RNA
Source: RNAcentral
GAUGAACGCUAGCGGCAGGCUUAACACAUGCAAGUCGAGGGGCAGCAUCGGGUAGUAAUACUCGGAUGGCGACCGGCGCACGGGUGCGUAACGCGUAUGCAACCUACCCUUCAUUGGUGCAUAACCCGGAGAAAUCCGGACUAAUUCACCGUAUUCCAUUAUCGGGCAUCCGAUUUUGGUAAAAGAUUUAUCGUUGGAGGAUGGGCAUGCGUGACAUUAGGUAGUUGGUGAGGUAACGGCUCACCAAGCCCGCGAUGUCUAGGGGAACUGAGAGGUUUAUCCCCCACACUGGUACUGAGACACGGACCAGACUCCUACGGGAGGCAGCAGUGAGGAAUAUUGGUCAAUGGACGGAAGUCUGAACCAGCCAUGCCGCGUGCAGGAUGACGGCCCUCGGGUUGUAAACUGCUUUUGUACAGAACGAAAAGGUUUCUACUAAUACUAGGAGCUCAUGACGGUACUGUAAGAAUAAGCACCGGCUAACUACGUGCCAGCAGCCGCGGUAA